RNAcentral lists this ribosomal RNA (1168 nucleotides) under uncultured bacterium. RNAcentral's name for it is "bacterial SSU rRNA". It matches the Rfam family "Bacterial small subunit ribosomal RNA", at positions 53 to 1187 of the family's 1533-position model. The record is from RNAcentral.
ACUGCAGUCGCACGCGAAAGUAUUCUUCGGAAAACGAGUAGAGUGGCGAAAGGGUGAGGAAUACAUGGAUAACGUACCUCUGGCACAGGGACAGCCCCGAGAAAUCGGGGAUAAUACCUGAUGAGACCACGGUGACGCAGGUCGCUGCGGUCAAAGGGCGGGGAUCCCUUCGGGGACCUGUCGGCCGGAGAGCGGUCCAUGUCCUAUCAGCUUGUUGGUGAGGUAACGGCUCACCAAGGCAUUGACGGGUAGCGGGACUGAGAGGUUGGCCCGCCACAUUGGGACUGAGACACUGCCCAGACUCCUACGGGAGGCUGCAGUAACGAAUAUUCCGCAAUGGGCGAAAGCCUGACGGAGCGACGCCGCGUGUGGGAAGAAGCCCUUCGGGGUGUAAACCACCGUCAGGGGUUAGCAAGCGAUGGGGGCUAAUAUCCCCCGGAGUUGAGCAGCCCCAGAGGAAGCCACGGCUAACUUCGUGCCAGCAGCCGCGGUAAGACGAAGGUGGCUAGCGUUGUUCGGAAUCACUGGGCUUAAAGGGCACGCAGGCUGCUCGUCAAGUGUCUUGUGAAAUCCCCCGGCUCAACCGGGGAACUGUUGGGCAAACUGACGGGCUUGAGGCAGGUAGGGGCGCAUGGAACUCUUGGUGGAGCGGUGGAAUGCGUAGAUAUCAAGAGGAACGCCGGUGGCGAAAGCGAUGCGCUGGGCCUGUCCUGACGCUGAGGUGCGAAAGCCAGGGGAGCAAACGGGAUUAGAUACCCCGGUAGUCCUGGCCCUAAACGAUGUCCACUAGGUCGAAGGUUCUCUGACGGAGUUUCGGCCGAAACAAAAGCGUUAAGUGGACCGCCUGGGGAGUACGGUCGCAAGGCUAAAACUCAAAGGAAUUGACGGGGGCUCACACAAGCGGUGGAGCAUGUUGCUUAAUUCGAUGCAACGCGAAGAACCUUAUCCUGGGCUUGACAUGCUUGGAUGCCUCCCUGGAAACAGGAUCAGGCUGCCCUUCGGGGUGAAACUUGCACAGGUGCUGCAUGGCUGUCGUCAGCUCGUGUCGUGAGAUGUGGGUUAAGUCCCGUAACGAGCGAAACCCUGUCGCUAGUGUCAGCGGGUAUGCCGGGGACUCUAGCGGAGAACUGCCCGGUGUUAACCCGAGGAAGGUGGGGGAAUGACGUCC